RNAcentral lists this ribosomal RNA (253 nucleotides) under uncultured bacterium. RNAcentral describes it as "partial 16S ribosomal RNA". It matches the Rfam family "Bacterial small subunit ribosomal RNA", at positions 524 to 776 of the family's 1533-position model. The record is from RNAcentral.
GACGAACCGUGCGAACGUUGUUCGGAUUCACUGGGCUUAAAGGGCGCGUAGGCGGCUGACCAAGUCUGGGGUGAAAUCUUUCGGCUCAACCGGAAAAUUGCCUGGGAUACUGGUCGGCUCGAGGGAGGUAGGGGCAGCUGGAACUUCCAGUGGAGCGGUGAAAUGCGUUGAUAUUGGAAGGAACGCCGGUGGCGAAAGCGAGCUGCUGGACCUCUUCUGACGCUGAGGCGCGAAAGCUAGGGGAGCGAACGGG